Molecule: unclassified non-coding RNA, 126 nt
Filed under: rhizosphere metagenome
Description: partial ribosomal RNA internal transcribed spacer region
Source: RNAcentral
GAUGUGCGCAAGCACUUAUCCUUCAUACACCUGUGCACCAUGGUCUUCGGACCUUUACAAACAUUGUAGUCAUGAGCGUCUUUAUUAUAACAAAAUAAAACUUUCAACAACGGAUCUCUUGGCUCU